GUAACACAAUAACCCUUGUCGUUUUUUGUGCACCCUUUGUUUCCUCGGCAGCUUUGCCUGCCAACGAGGACCCCCUAAAAACCUUUUGCAAUUUAGUAUAACAAUCAGAAAACAAACAAUAUUAAAACUUUCAACAAUGGAUCUCUUGGCUCUGGCAUCGAUGAAGAACGCAGCGAAAUGCGAUAAGUAGUGUGAAUUGCAGAAUUCAGUGAAUCAUCGAAUCUUUGAACGCACAUUGCGCCCUUUGGUAUUCCUUAGGGCAUGCCUGUUCGAGCGUCAUUUACAAAUUCAAGCUCAGCUUGGUGAUGGGUGUCUGUCCCGCCUUCGCGUGUGGACUCGCCUCAAAUGCAGUUGGCAGCUUGUUCCUCGGCUCUAAACGCAGCAGAUUUGCGUCGAGCGUCGGGUGGACGGGCUCUCCAGUAAGCAAACCCUCAUAAAUUGACCUCGGAUCAGGUAGGGAUACCCGCUGAACUUAAGCAUAUC
This 483-nucleotide ribosomal RNA is filed under the name uncultured fungus. Its description in RNAcentral is "eukaryotic LSU rRNA". The stretch from base 126 to 279 matches the Rfam family "5.8S ribosomal RNA". The record is from RNAcentral. Lineage: Eukaryota; Fungi.